RNAcentral lists this unclassified non-coding RNA (493 nucleotides) under Hevea brasiliensis (rubber tree). The record is from RNAcentral. Lineage: Eukaryota; Viridiplantae; Streptophyta; Magnoliopsida; Malpighiales; Euphorbiaceae.
GGGUUUUUUUUUUUAGCUAUAAAUGAUGUAAUCUGGAUAACCCCGUCUUGACAUCUUGAACAAAAUGUUGGACAAUGGGUAAUUUCUUGCUUUUUAGUGUUAAUUAUUUUUUUGGGAACAAUUUGAGAAGAAAGGUUUGAGAUUAGGGUUUUUUUUUUUAAAGGAAAUUGUGAUAGAAAUUUAUAUAAUUUAGACUCUUGAAAGUUGCGAAAGGAUGAAAUAUAUAGAUAUUUAAUACUUUGACUUGUAAUUUUAACUGAAAUAAUCCCUUGAUAAAAUCGUAAAUGCGAUGUUACAAACUACAAUGACUCCAUUUAGAUGCUAAAAGUUGCUUAUCAAAUAGUCACAUGGGCUUAUGCAUGCACAUGUUUCUUGCAAAAUUGAGCCCUGAAAAAUAAUGGUGAGUUUGUUUUAUGAAACACUUUUAUGAUUGCUACUCCAAAUUAUCUAACAAUUUCUGCCAUUUUAAUAUGAUGUGACAGGGGUACAAAUG